AUCUUGCAGCCUGCAGAGAGGAGGCCAGCACUUACAUCUGAAUUCAGACAGAUGUUUCUUGCAGACUGUAAAUAUCAAGGAGGACAGAACAGAACUCUAUGGGACACGACAAGCCAUCGCACCAUUCUGCUUCAUACAGUCACACAGCUGAACAUUCUGAAAAUUCCACAAACACACAGAAAAAGAAAGCCCUGAACUUGCCUCAAGUUGUUUGUGAAGACAGAAGAAUGCCCAAACUGCACAGUAAGAGAGUGCUCAUGUAUUAACUACCACACUCCCAUCAUGUGCACCAUACAGACCAUCAGGAAAAGAAGGCUUUGUUUCUGAAAGAAGCAGGUAUUUUUCUUAGAAUUCCCAGCACUAAGAACAAAGAAGUUACCUGCAUAGUCCUCAUAGGUCCCACAAAUGUCCAACUCAGUCAUAUGUAUAGGUGAGAAGUUACACAAGCUGAUUCCCAGUAUGCAUGGAUUACAGGGAUUAAAACAUUUCCACAAACACAUCCAGCUUCUGAAAUCAGCACUUUGUGAAUGUGGUCAGAAUGCAAGCCACAUUGUACAUUAACAUCGGUUGCUUUAACUCCAAUUGAUCUUAAUGGAAUUAUUCUACAGCACUAUAGUUUCUCCCUAGCAUUAUAUCUUAUGUCAUCUUAGUAUAACAAGUGAUAAAAAAUUUGUGU
Long non-coding RNA from Hemicordylus capensis (graceful crag lizard), 676 nucleotides. RefSeq lists it as uncharacterized. Lineage: Eukaryota; Metazoa; Chordata; Lepidosauria; Squamata; Cordylidae. The record is from RefSeq and is a predicted model, not a curated record. The transcript has 3 exons.